Molecule: unclassified non-coding RNA, 414 nt
Filed under: Hevea brasiliensis (rubber tree)
Lineage: Eukaryota; Viridiplantae; Streptophyta; Magnoliopsida; Malpighiales; Euphorbiaceae
Source: RNAcentral
UUAUAAAAAAUAAAAAAAUAAAAAUCAGAUGCUUAGAUUUGUGUGGCUUGUAAUCAUCCACUCUUCAUCUUUGUGCUUUUCCUGAAUUCACUCUUCAUCCGCUUCUUCACAUUUUUUGAACUAAAUGUUUUAGUUAGCUACCCAUGCCUGCUAACGUUUCCUAUCCUUGAACGCCAUAUUUUCUAGAUCAAAAGAAAAUGAUGCAUUACAACAUUUUUCCUUCACCCAAACAUGCAUGCAUGCUUGGGCUUCUUGCACUAGAGUGCCUAUUCCAUCUUUUAUCCGAGUGAUAGUCAUAAUCAACUUACCAGUGGAGCAAAUAAAUUUUGUGAAUUGGAUGUCCAACUGACCCUACAUCUAUAAAUUUCAGAGUUAAAUUCCAUCUGGAUAUUCAGUUCCUUAUCGUCGAUGGAU